GGGGUAAAAUUGGAAGGAAUCAAAAGAUAAUGGCAUAGUUGUAGAUACGUUGAAGUGGUAAGGGUAAAAUUGGAAAGGAAUCAAAAGUUAAUGGCAUAAUCGUAGAUAUGUUAAGUGUUAGGGGCAAAAUGAGAAUUUAAUAAUAUUAAAAAAAGGGUGAAUAGUAUCUUGAUGUGAUUUAAUUGGAGGGUUUGAGCUGGCUUUUGGAAUGAAACCGAGAGAAAGAGGGAGGGGGUUCUCAGGCGUGAAACAGAGGAAAGAAAGAAAGAAAAAGAGAAGAAGAAGAAGAAGAAAGAAGAAGAGGAAGGGGAUUCAAGGAGGAAAGGGAUCCCGGUUGCACUUACAGCUGAAGGAAAAAACGUAGAUCUCCUUCCCCUCUACGCAAGGACCUCGAUUUCCAAAAAGAAAAAGGUAAAUAUCCGUCCCUAUCUAGUCUUUUGAUGAUAUUAGGCUAUACAAAGGGUGGAUAUAGUCUAGAGGGGUCGGCUAAGGGUUGUAGAGGCGGUUAAAAGAGGAAGAAUCGGAUUUUGACAAAUUUUUCCGGCACUACGGAAAAACUGUGCCGAAGUUCCAACUUCGGUGAAUUAUUUAGGGGGCCAAACGGCCUCCGAUGAUGAUGCAUGUUAUCUCUUUGGAAUCCUCUAUGAGUGUAGAAUGUUAGGUAAAAAUUUCAUCAAAUUUGGAGUCUGAAAAGUGGAUCAAACCUGGGAUGAAGUAACCGGCUGUCGGUCCGGAUUACUGUUCAUCCGGGUGGAAAAUAGGGGAUUUCAUGCUAUAAUAAGGUAUUAAGCCUAGAUUAGGCUAAGGGAGAUCUUGUACUCAUGCAACGGAGUCCCUAAU
This 840-nucleotide long non-coding RNA is filed under the name Phoenix dactylifera (date palm). Its description in RNAcentral is "long non-coding RNA (PDAC_LNC013314)". The record is from RNAcentral. Lineage: Eukaryota; Viridiplantae; Streptophyta; Magnoliopsida; Arecales; Arecaceae.